UUUAAACUUUCUAUUUCUGCCAUAAAAACGUUUCCUUUAUAACAUAUGUACGAAUAUUUAUUACAAAAACACUUUUUUGCUUCUUCACCAAACACUAGUUUGCUUCUUCUCCAAGCAUCUUAAAACCUCAAUCUUCCUCUUCUUUUAAAACACUAAACCAAGCUCCUUCUUGUUCCAAUUCAUCUUCUCUCCUCCUUCGUUCUCGCCCCCUAUAUGCCUGUGCUCACUUCAGCUCACGUUCCUCUCCCAGUUCUUUUCUUUUCCGGCCAGACUUUUUCAUCGGAGUUUCCGGAAACGGUAUAACUUCAGCCACUCAAGCCGCUUCUCGUUCUCGUGGACAACUCUUACCUCUUUCUC
This is a long non-coding RNA of Arabidopsis thaliana (thale cress), 357 nucleotides long. RefSeq annotates it as other RNA. Lineage: Eukaryota; Viridiplantae; Streptophyta; Magnoliopsida; Brassicales; Brassicaceae. The transcript has a single exon. The record is from RefSeq.